RNAcentral lists this ribosomal RNA (292 nucleotides) under uncultured Methylotenera sp. RNAcentral describes it as "partial 16S ribosomal RNA". It matches the Rfam family "Bacterial small subunit ribosomal RNA", at positions 505 to 796 of the family's 1533-position model. Lineage: Bacteria; Pseudomonadati; Pseudomonadota; Betaproteobacteria; Nitrosomonadales; Methylophilaceae. The record is from RNAcentral.
GUGUCAGCCGCCGCGGUAAUACGUAGGGUGCGAGCGUUAAUCGGAAUUACUGGGCGUAAAGCGUGCGCAGGCGGCCUGAUAAGUCAGAUGUGAAAUCCCCGAGCUCAACUUGGGAACUGCGUUUGAAACUAUCAAGCUAGAAUAUGUCAGAGGGGGGUAGAAUUCCACGUGUAGCAGUGAAAUGCGUAGAGAUGUGGAGGAAUACCAAUGGCGAAGGCAGCCCCCUGGGAUAAUAUUGACGCUCAUGCACGAAAGCGUGGGGAGCAAACAGGAUUAGAAACCCGAGUAGUCC